This 73-nucleotide non-coding RNA is filed under the name uncultured Bulleidia sp. RNAcentral's name for it is "TPP riboswitch (THI element)". It matches the Rfam family "TPP riboswitch aptamer (THI element)", at positions 8 to 91 of the family's 105-position model. From Rfam's summary of the family: Vitamin B(1) in its active form thiamin pyrophosphate (TPP) is an essential coenzyme that is synthesised by coupling of pyrimidine and thiazole moieties in bacteria. Lineage: Bacteria; Bacillati; Bacillota; Erysipelotrichia; Erysipelotrichales; Erysipelotrichaceae. The record is from RNAcentral.
GAACAGGGGUGCUUCGAAAGAGGCUGAGAAUAACCCUUAUCACCUGAUCUAGUUAAUGCUAGCGUAGGGAGUU